This is a long non-coding RNA of Gadus macrocephalus (Pacific cod), 4823 nucleotides long. RefSeq lists it as uncharacterized. The transcript has 21 exons. The record is from RefSeq and is a predicted model, not a curated record. NCBI's taxonomy places the organism in Eukaryota, Metazoa, Chordata, Actinopteri, Gadiformes, Gadidae.
GUGGACUUGUUGUAACGCAGGAUUAGUUUGUCCGGUACAAGUUACGGCCCAAGUUUGUUACGGGCCAUUAGAGCCCAACUACUCCUGUGUUUGUGACCUUACAUUAGAGACAAACUACUACUGUGUUUGUUACCUGAUAUUAGAGACAUACUACUCCUGUGUUUGUAACCUUGCAUUAGAGCCCAACUACUCCUGUGUUUGUUACCUUACAUUAGAGCCCAACUACUACUGUGUUUGUUACCUGAUAUUGGAGUCCAACUACUCCUGUGUUUGUUACCUUACAUUAGAGACAAACUACUGUGUUUGUUACCUUUCAUUAGAGACAAAUUACUACUGUUUGUUACCUUACAUUAGCGACAAAUUACGUUUGUAACCAGACCAGGAAUCUGGAGGACUGAUGGAGAAGCCGUACAUCUGGAAGGCAAAUCCUGAGGACAACCAGGACUCUACCAUCAAGGAUUCCUCACACACCUGAGCUGAACCUCACCUGAUCCUCUUUGGUCGGGGGUAGACACACCUGAGCUGAACCCGCCCUGAUCCUGACAUCCUGCUGGUCCCGUCUCCUCAGUUCAUCUGCGCCUCGUCCUCCAGAAGACCUGCUGAGCUCAGCAGUCUGAGCCUGAUGUAUCAAUGACCUCCAGUGGGAGUGAUCUUCUUGACCCCACAUACGUUGGGACCAGACUUGCGCUGUUUGUUCCAGACCAGGACUCUGGCUGAGGAGAGCUGAUGGAGGAGCCAAGACUCUGGAGGACGACAUCACUCCAUCAACAAGGAUCCUCGUAAGUUUGCAUAAAAGACAAACUACUAGUGUCUGGAGGGCUGACGGAGAAGCCGUACAUCUGGAAGGCAAAUCCUGAGGACGACCAGGACUCUACCAUAAAGGAUUCCUCACACACCUGAGCUGAACCUCACCUGAUCCUGUUUGGUUGGGGGCAGACACACCUGAGCUGAACCCCUCCUGAUCCGGACAUCCUGCUGGUCCCGUUUCCUCAGUUCAUCUGAGCCUCGUCCUCCAGAAGACCUGCUGAGCUCAGCGGUCUGAGGCUGAGGGAUCAAUGACCUCCAGUGGGAGUGAUCUUCUUGACCCCACAUGUACCCGUGUGCUUCCACACGCCUUUCCCUGACGUCUGUCACUAACCUCACUACUUCACUACUCUCUACUCCUUCCCCUUCUUCUUCCUUCUCCGUGGUUCGAACCUUUACUCUGAAGGAGUGUCUCCUUGAACCUUUACACUGAAGGAGCGUCUUCCUGCCCUCAGAGGGUUCAGCGUUAGGGUUGAGAGUCAGGGUUUAGAGUCAGGGACAGAGCUGGUCAGGAAGGGCUGGUUUUACACAAACCUCUUCACUUGCUUUCUGAAUGGUGGUGACAUUUUGAAAAGAUUAAUUUGGGAAAAUGUUUUCCUCUGCUUUCCUUCACAAAAAAAAUUAUUAAACUUCUGUGUUUGUAACCAGACCCGGAAUCCAUGGCUGAAGGAGCUGAUGGUGGAGCCGUGCUGGAGGCCCUGCCUGGAGGAGGAGCCGCCGUGCUGAAGGCCCUGCCUGAUGGAGGAGCCGUGCUGGUGGCCCUGCCUGGUGGAGGAUGUCUGUCGUGAGGCCAGGACUCUGUCUGAGGAGAGCUGAUGGAGAGCUGAUGGAGGAGCUGAGACGCUGGAGGAUGACUAGGAAUCAACCAACAAGGAUUCCUCGACGUGUUUCUGGAGCGGAGGCGAGCUGGUAGGGGAGCCGUUAAUCUGGUGGAUGACCAUCUCUCUACCAACAAGGAUUACGUUGGGGCCAGACUUGCGCUGUUUGUUCCAGACCAGGACUCUGGCUGUGGAGCGCUGAUGGAGGAGCCAAGACUCUGCAGGACGACAUCACUCUACCAACAAAGAUCCUCGUAAGUUUGCAUAAAGUAAACAGACUGGACUUGUUGUAACGCAGGAUUAGUUUGUCCAGUAGAAGUUAAGGCAUACUACUGUGGUUGGUUACCAGAAAAACUACAGCUGCUACUUUGUUACGUGCCAUUAGAGCCCAACUACUCCUGUGUUUGUGACCUUACAUUAGAGACAAAUUACAUUUGUAAUCAGACAGGAAUCUGGAGGACUGAUGGAGAAGCCGUACAUCUGGAAGGCAAAUCCUGAGGACAACCAGGACUCUACCAUCAAGGAUUCCUCGUAAGUUUGCAUUAUCUGGACAUCGUGGACUAGACACACCUGAGCUGAACCUCACCUGAUCCUCUUUGGUCGGGGGUAGACACACCUGAGCUGAACCCGCCCUGAUCCUGACAUCCUGCUGGUCCCGUCUCCUCAGUUCAUCUGCGCCUCGUCCUGCAGAAGACCUGCUGAGCUCAGCAGUCUGAGCCUGAUGGAUCAAUGACCUCCAGUGGGAGUGAUCUUCUUGACCCCACAUACCAGGAAUCCAUGGCUGUAGGAGCUGAUGGAGGAGCCGUGCUGAAGGCCCUGCCUGGUGGAGGAGCUGACGGAGGCCCUGCCUGGUGGAGGAUGUCUGUCGUGGGACCAGGACUCUGUCUGAGGAGAGCUGAUGGAGAGCUGAUGGAGGAGCUGAGACGCUGGAGGACGACUAGGAAUCAACCAACAAGAAUUCCUCAACCCUUUCUGGAGUGGAAGCAAGCUGGUAGGGGAGCCGUGAAUCUGGAGGAUGACCAUCUCUCUACCAACAAGGAUUACGUUGGGACCAGACUUGCGCUGUUUGUUCCAGACCAGGACUCUGGCUGAGGAGAGCUGAUGGAGGAGCCAAGACUCUGGAGGACGACAUCACUCCAUCAACAAGGAUCCUCGUAAGUUUGCAUAAAAGACAAACUACUAGUGUCUGGAGGGCUGACGGAGAAGCCGUACAUCUGGAAGGCAAAUCCUGAGGACGACCAGGACUCUACCAUAAAGGAUUCCUUACACACCUGAGCUGAACCUCACCUGAUCCUGUUUGGUCGGGGGCAGACACACCUGAGCUGAACCCCUCCUGAUCCGGACAUCCUACUGGUCCCGUUUCCUCAGUUCAUCUGAGCCUCGUCCUCCAGAAGACCUGCUGAGCUCAGCGGUCUGAGGCUGAGGGAUCAAUGACCUCCAGUGGGAGUGAUCUUCUUGACCCCACAUACCCGGAAUCCAUGGCUGAAGGAGCUGAUGGUGGAGCCGUGCUGGAGGCCCUGCCUGGAGGAGGAGCCGUGCUGGAGGCCCUGCCUGGAGGAGGAGCCGUGCUGGAGGCCCUGCCUGGUGGAGGAGCCGUGCUGGUGGCCCUGCCUGGUGGAGGAUGUCUGUCGUGAGACCAGGACUCUGUCUGAGGAGAGCUGAUGGAGGAGCUGAGACGCUGGAGGACGACUAGGAAUCGACCAACAAGGAUUCCUCGACGUGUUUCUGGAGCGGAGGCGAGCUGGUAGGGGAGCCAUUCAUCUGGAGGAUGACCAUCUCUCUACCAACAAGGAUUACGUUGGGGCCAGACUUGCGCUGUUUGUUCCAGACCAGGACUCUGGCUGUGGAGCGCUGAUGGAGGAGCCAAGACUCUGCAGGACGACAUCACUCUACCAACAAAGAUCCUCACCAGGAAUCUGGAGGACUGACGGAGAAGCCGUACAUCCGGAAGGCAAAUCAUGAGGACAACCAGGACUCUACCAUCAAGGAUUCCUCACACACCUGAGCUGAACCUCACCUGAUCCUGUUUGGUCGGGGGAAGACGCACCUGAGCUGAACCGAACCUGAUUGGUCGGGGGCAGACUCACCUGAGCUGAACCUCGCCUGAUCCUGUUUGGUCGGGGGCAGACUCACCUGAGCUGAACCCACCCUGAUCCUGACAUCCUGCUGGUCCCGUUUCCUCAGUUCAUCUGAGCCUCUUCCUCCAGAAGACCUGCUGAGCUCAGCGGUCUGAGGCUGAUGUAUCAAUGACCUCCAGUGGGAGUGAUCUUCUUGACCCCACAUGUAGCCGUGUGCUUCCACACGCCUUUCCCUCACUUCUGUCACUAACCUCACUACUUCACUACUCUCUACUCCUUCCCCUUCUUCUUCCUUCUCCGUGGUUCGAACCUUUACUCUGAAGGAGGGCCUUCUUGAACGUUUACACUGAAGGAGCGUCUUCCUGCCCUCAGAGGGUUCAGCGUUAGGGUUGAGAGUCAGGGUUUAGAGUCAGGGACAGAGCUGGAUAGGGAGGACUGGUUUUGCACAAACCUCUUCACUUGCUUUCUAAAUGGGGACAUUUUGAAAAGAAUCAUCUGGGAAAAUGUUUUACUCUGCUUUCCUUUACAAAAAUAUGUAAACUUCUGUCAAGUGUUUUUGUUUAUAUAUUAAAAUCCCACAUUGACUUCUGCAUAUUUGGUGCUGUUCAUUUAAUUGUCCUUUAACUUGGUUAAUGUCAAGCUAAACUCUUGCAAUACAUUUAAUAUACAUGAUGAAUGUUAUUCAGCAAUGUUCACAUAAUCCAUUUUGUAAAAAUACGAAACCUCCAUAUUACUACUAAAUUCAAGCCUAGUCAUGUAUUUAACAAUGUACAUACUGCCCCGCAGGCCAUUCUCUGCUACUACAACACGUUCAAUCCACCAACCCGUCUCAAAUCAAUGUACUAUAGCUACGUUGGUUCAAACGGAAAAUGUAGUUUGGUGUGAGACUGUCCAGCAGAGGGAGCUGUCAUACACCUUAAUUAAAUAUACAGGAAUGUGUGUGUAUUUACAUUUUAAAAUGUGAAUGUGCUGGUCUAGUUUGUCUGCAAAUAACUCUGCCUCCAGCAACAGGAUUGGUCGAAACAUGAAGUGAAAGAAAUAAAAGCCUACUUCACCGGAUCUGAGGUCAGCUGCUGUCAGAUUUUGGAUCAUGAAGGUAUUGAGUGAACGAGGUCUGAGCUAA